RNAcentral lists this ribosomal RNA (460 nucleotides) under uncultured bacterium. RNAcentral's name for it is "partial 16S ribosomal RNA". It matches the Rfam family "Bacterial small subunit ribosomal RNA", at positions 338 to 795 of the family's 1533-position model. The record is from RNAcentral.
CCUACGGGUGGCUGCAGUGAGGAAUAUUGGUCAAUGGGCGCGAGCCUGAACCAGCCAAGUAGCGUGAAGGAUGACUGCCCUACGGGUUGUAAACUUCUUUUAUAAAGGACUAAAGUGAGGCACGUGUGCCUUUUUGUAUGUACUUUAUGAAUAAGGAUCGGCUAACUCCGUGCCAGCAGCCGCGGUAAUCCGGCGGAUCCUAGCGUUAUCCGGAUUUAUUGGGGUUAAAGGGAGCGUAGAUGGGUUGUUAAGUCAGUUGGGAAAGUUUGCGGAGCAACCGUAAAAUUGCAAUUGAUACUGGCAGCCUUGAGUACAGUUGAGGUAGGCGGAAUUCGUGGUGUAGCGGUGAAAUGCUUAGAUAUCACGCAGAACUCCGAUUGCGAAGGCAGCCUACUAAACUGCCACUGACAUUGAUGCUCGAAAGUGUGGGUAUCAAACAGGAGUAGAUACCCUUGUAGUC